AUGGAGGAACACAUGUAUCAGCUUCAGAUGUCCCUGGCGGCGCUUCUUAACAAAUUUUAUGCCAUGGAACUGAAGAUGGACAACUUGGGAAAGCAACUCGUCUCCAUGCACGAGAGCAUGGACAAGAUUCGCGAGAAGCAAGCCACGCUCAGCGCGGAGCCGACCACUUCCUCAGUGAUGCAGGAUCCUGCGUUGUCCUCGACUACACGGUCACCUGCACGUCUCGUCAACCAGCGGCCGCCGUUGUUGGAGGAACCCGAUCUGCCACCUGGCGUGGGGUUCGUCACGGCGCCUGCCUUACUAGCAGAACGAGUUGUUCAUGAGCAGGUUCAGCCACCUGAACGAGUCGUUGUUCUGACGAGACACUAG
This 369-nucleotide ribosomal RNA is filed under the name Triticum aestivum (bread wheat). Its description in RNAcentral is "partial small subunit ribosomal RNA". Lineage: Eukaryota; Viridiplantae; Streptophyta; Magnoliopsida; Poales; Poaceae. The record is from RNAcentral.